RNAcentral lists this ribosomal RNA (395 nucleotides) under uncultured bacterium. RNAcentral's name for it is "partial 16S ribosomal RNA". It matches the Rfam family "Bacterial small subunit ribosomal RNA", at positions 523 to 918 of the family's 1533-position model. The record is from RNAcentral.
AUACGUAGGGUGCGAGCGUUAAUCGGAAUUACUGGGCGUAAAGCGUGCGCAGGCGGUUUUGUAAGACAGUGGUGAAAUCCCCGGGCUCAACCUGGGAACUGCCAUUGUGAAUGCAAGGCUGGAGUGCGGCAGAGGGGGAUGGAAUUCCGCGUGUAGCAGGGAAAUGCGUAGAUAUGCGGAGGAACACCGAUGGCGAAGGCAAUCCCCUGGGCCUGCACUGACGCUCAUGCACGAAAGCGUGGGGAGCAAACAGGAUUAGAUACCCUGGUAGUCCACGCCCUAAACGAUGUCAACUGGUUGUUGGGAAUUUAUUUUCUCAGUAACGAAGCUAACGCGUGAAGUUGACCGCCUGGGGAGUACGGCCGCAAGGUUAAAACUCAAAUGAAUUGACGGGG